This 69-nucleotide transfer RNA is filed under the name Dipodomys ordii (Ord's kangaroo rat). It matches the Rfam family "tRNA". From Rfam's summary of the family: Transfer RNA (tRNA) molecules are approximately 80 nucleotides in length. Lineage: Eukaryota; Metazoa; Chordata; Mammalia; Rodentia; Heteromyidae. The record is from Rfam by way of RNAcentral.
GGGAAUGUGGCUUAGUGGUAGAGUGCUUGCCUCACAUGCAUGAAGCCCUGGGUUCGAUUCCUAGUACCA